AUUUCAUUAGUAAAAAAAAUUAUAUUAUCUUGAUAAGGUAAAGUUCAAAAUUGAUGAAAUAA
Molecule: transfer RNA, 62 nt
Filed under: Cooperia oncophora
Lineage: Eukaryota; Metazoa; Nematoda; Chromadorea; Rhabditida; Trichostrongylidae
Description: tRNA-Ile
Source: RNAcentral